AUUGAACGCUGGCGGCAGGCCUAACACAUGCAAGUCGAGCGGAUGAAGGGAGCUUGCUCCUGGAUUCAGCGGCGGACGGGUGAGUAAUGCCUAGGAAUCUGCCUGGUAGUGGGGGAUAACGUCCGGAAACGGGCGCUAAUACCGCAUACGUCCUGAGGGAGAAAGUGGGGGAUCUUCGGACCUCACGCUAUCAGAUGGGCCUAGGUCGGAUUAGCUAGUUGGUGGGGUAAAGGCCUACCAAGGCGACGAUCCGUAACUGGUCUGAGAGGAUGAUCAGUCACACUGGAACUGAGACACGGUCCAGACUCCUACGGGAGGCAGCAGUGGGGAAUAUUGGACAAAGGGCGAAAGCCUGAUCCAGCCAUGCCGCGUGUGUGAAGAAGGUCUUCGGAUUGUAAAGCACUUUAAGUUGGGAGGAAGGGCAGUAAGUUAAUACCUUGCUGUUUUGACGUUACCAACAGAAUAAGCACCGGCUAACUUCGUG
Molecule: ribosomal RNA, 484 nt
Filed under: uncultured bacterium
Lineage: Bacteria
Description: partial 16S ribosomal RNA
Rfam family: Bacterial small subunit ribosomal RNA
Source: RNAcentral